GAUGAACGCCGGCGGUGUGCCUAAUACAUGCAAGUCGAGCGCACUGGCCCAACUGAUAUGACGUGCUUGCACUGAUUUGACGAUGGAUCAUCAGUGAGCGGCGGACGGGUGAGUAACACGUGGGCAACCUGCCCUGGAGCGGGGGAUAACAUUUGGAAACAGAUGCUAAUACCGCAUAAUAAUCAAAACCACAUGGUUUUGAUUUCAAAGAUGGUUUCGGCUAUCACUCCAGGAUGGGCCCGCGGUGCAUUAGCUAGUUGGUAAGGUAACGGCUUACCAAGGCGAUGAUGCAUAGCCGAGUUGAGAGACUGAUCGGCCACAAUGGAACUGAGACACGGUCCAUACUCCUACGGAGGCAGCAGUAGGGAAUCUUCCACAAUGGGCGCAAGCCUGAUGGAGCAACACCGCGUG
RNAcentral lists this ribosomal RNA (411 nucleotides) under uncultured Lactobacillus sp. RNAcentral's name for it is "bacterial SSU rRNA". It matches the Rfam family "Bacterial small subunit ribosomal RNA", at positions 28 to 403 of the family's 1533-position model. Lineage: Bacteria; Bacillati; Bacillota; Bacilli; Lactobacillales; Lactobacillaceae. The record is from RNAcentral.